UCGUAUUUAUAUUUCAGUAAUUUUCUAUUCAAUUACAACGUAGCUAUGUGUUUUUAUUAUACACGUGAAUUUCGUUCCUUUGUUCCCGUGUAAAAAAUCUACUCCGUGUACCUACCUAUAUGUGAAAACCAUGUACCGGCCGUGUACAGUUAUUUUUCAACUUGUUCGACAGACCAUGAAGGCAUUGUUGGAAAAAUAAACCACUGUAGGGCCAUCGCAACUAGAAUGAUUUCAGUCAUGAGAGAAUAUUUUAAGACGUGCUGUUGUUAUUACAUUCCUGAAUAAAAUGUAAUAUUGAAGACAUCAAAGUGAUCAAACUUAUUGCAAAAUAAGUCUCUGUACACGGAAAAUUAUGAGUCUAAAAUAGUUAAAAUAUGUACCAAUGAAACAGGGUCUUACAAUGCAGGACGCAAUGCCGGUAAAAGGAAUAUACCAACCGAAAAUGAUCUGUUGAAUUUAACUUUAUUGUUCGUAUUUUAAUUUUCGUCUUCCUUAUCAGGUAUAUUAUUACAAGUCAUUUUAUUAGUAGAGGUGCUUAUACAAAAUAUAUAUAAAUAUAAACAUACAUAAUAAAUGUAUAUUAUUAUAUUCAAA
Molecule: long non-coding RNA, 594 nt
Organism: Rhopalosiphum padi (bird cherry-oat aphid)
Lineage: Eukaryota; Metazoa; Arthropoda; Insecta; Hemiptera; Aphididae
Exons: 2
Source: RefSeq, a predicted model, not a curated record